ACUCCUACGGGAGGCAGCAGUGGGGAAUAUUGCACAAUGGGCGGAAGCCUGAUGCAGCAACGCCGCGUGCGGGAUGACGGCCUUCGGGUUGUAAACCGCUUUCGCCUGUGACGAAGCUGGAGUGACGGUAAGGGAAAGCAAUGCAUCCGGCUAACUACGUGCCAGCAGCCGCGGUGAUACGUAGGGUGCGAGCGUUGUCCGGAUUUAUUGGGCGUAAAGGGCUCGUAAGGUGGUUGAUCGCGUCGGAAGUGUAAUCUU
This 258-nucleotide ribosomal RNA is filed under the name uncultured bacterium. RNAcentral's name for it is "partial 16S ribosomal RNA". It matches the Rfam family "Bacterial small subunit ribosomal RNA", at positions 335 to 603 of the family's 1533-position model. The record is from RNAcentral.